ACUGGCUUAGCUAGCUCCUAGCUAUAUCAAUGGGGAAGGUCUGCAUUUGGUAUAUCAAGUUCCAGUUUGAUUUUUUUCUUCCGAGUCCUGUCAAAGGUUUCCGUGUACACUUAGAGUGCUUUUGAUUCAAAGUUCAAGGCAAAGUUUUCAAGCUUACGUUUCGUUUCUGGAUAUACAUUGGAUUGUCAAUUCCUACUAAUUUAGCAGGCCACGGGUUAGACGAGAGUAUUUGACCUGCUGCCGGUAACUCAGCCGGUUCAAAAGGUAAUUUCCACUUUAGUUAUGAAAGUUAGGGUGUUUAUGUGGAGGUUUUUAAACGAUAGGGGGUUUCGUGUCUUUUCGUGAAACCAUAGGGGGGUUCCGUGUAUUUUACCCAUAUAAAUUAUCACCAUACCAAACUUGCAGCUCUUCCCGAAUCGGCCGACCCAGUCCUGACCCCUCCUCCAAAUGUCUUUUUUUUUUCUUUUGUUUUUUUUUUGUCAUUAGCAGCAACUUCUAAUCUACUUCUACAUCAACCUAUAUUAUGCGAGAGGAGAAGUCUACAGAAACGUAUCAGAGGUGUAGGAUGAACCGUCAGAUUAGAUAAGUUCACUACUGUGCUCUCUGAUUUUUUUUGGAAAAACAAGGAAGCUCUUCCCAAAUCGUGCUGACCCAUACCUUCCCCCUCCUUCAAAUGUCUUUUUUUUCCUUUUUUUUUUUUUGUCAUUAGCAGCAACUUCUAAUCUACUUCUACAUCAACCUAUAUUAUGCGAGAGGAGAAGUCUAAAGAAACGUAUCAGAGGUGCAGGAUGAACCGUCAGAUUAGACAAGUUCAUUACUGUACUCUCUGAAUUUUUUUGAAAAAACAAGGAAGCUACACACUUCCUUGUAAUGUAUUAGGUGGGGUUUGAAUCUUUAAUUUAGUGCACAAGAGAGCUUAAAAAGGCUUUUCCUAGUUAUUAGACCAAGAUCCAAUGAUUCUCCAAAUGACUUGAUUGCUUUCAAUGAUAAAAGAUAAUAGGCUAAUAUGUCGAUAUGCAAUUUAUAUGCAUUGUUUUAGUUGUUUAUGCUUAAACAAAAUUAGUAAUUAGUGAAUAUAAAUUCACAUACUAUAUAUACACCUUUAGCAUAUGCUUGCAACUUAGUUACAUAUUUUGGAACGAACUGGUCCCAAAAUUCCGUAUAACAAGGAACGCAUAGGACGGUCUGGUACCAAAAUUCUAUGGAAGCACUGGACCCUGCCGAAACCAGUCCCAAAAUUUCCUCAACUUGUUCUCCAUUGUUAGGCCUCUCAUUUAUGAUAUCCAUGUCCUACGUGGAAUUGAUGUUAUUAGCUAGGGGUGGCAAUCGAGUCCGUUUCGGGUUGAGACUCGGGUAUAACAGAAAACCCGUUGAUCCGAACCUGACUUGCCAACCCGAAACGGGUCAGAAUACCUGACACGAAUCCGAAAAUUUUGGGUUGGCGGGUCGACCCGAAAUGACCCGAAUUUAAUUUUAAUUUAUUAAUUUAUCACUGUAAUUUCUAAUAAAACCAAUUUCGUACAAGACUAAUUACAUAAUCAAGUAAUAAAAAUUUAAAUAAAUAAUCCCAAACCAAAUCUAAAAUAAAUUAAAACUGUAUAAAAGUAAAAAAUAAUAUAAUGCAUUAUUUAUCCAAAUAUAAUAAUUUCAAUCUCACACACGUUAAAUAAAUUCAUUUAGGAUUAAGUAAUUAAUGCAUUUGGAAAAAAAGAAUAACUUAGUUUAGUUAGAUAAAAUAAUUUUUAUGUUUAUUAAAUUAUUUUUAAUUCUUAAACAGGUUAUCGGGUCAUAUCAGGUCAUCCACAGAUUGACCCGAAUUCGACUCGUUUUCUUUUCAGGUCCAUCGGGUUCGACCUAAUUCUGACUCGAACCCGCGAAACCUCAACUCAAACCCAUUAAUUUCGUGCUAGUUUCGUGUCGUGUUUUCAGGUCGUGUCGGAAAUUACCACCUCUCUUAUUAGCCAUCAUCCAUCAAGAUGUUAAAGGAUAGAGGAGGAUCCCCAAAACUGGAGUCCUGUAUGGACUAAAUAUUUUUUAGGGUGCCUUUCCAAAAAAAAAAAUUUUAUUUACUAUUAUAUAGUCCUGUAUGGACUAUAUAAUUUUAUUUUAGAGUGUUUUAAAAUUUAGACUUUUUUGGGACAUUUUAAAAAUUAUUUACUAUUCCUCCCUCUCCUCCUUCUCUUUCCCUACGCUGCAUCCUUCUCCCUCUUUAUCCCCCAACCCCACUCCUACCCAGGUUGGUUAGGCACCAUAAGCAAAUCUAGUCACAAAAAGGAGGAGGAGCAGGGUUAAGGAGGGGGGAAGGGGAGAAGAGGACGGAGGAUGGAGGAGAGAGGUUAAAGGAGAGGGAAAGGAGGAGGAGGAGGAGGGAGGGGAUGGUAAUGGUGGUGGAAGAAAAGGGUGGUGGUUUUUUUUUCUAUUUUUUAAUAUUUUUAUUAGAAGUAUUUGAGAUUUAUUUGAAGUGUUUUUGGGAUAGAUUUUACUCUAGUGUUAUACUUGAAAAACUAGGGGGCUGUUUGGUUAAAGGGUUUGGGAAUCACAGAAUGGAAUAAACCCCUUAUUUGUUGCUUGGGUUAAGCCUAUUGGAAUGCAAUUUUUGGAAUCAUUUCUAAAAAAUAGGACUUAUCUCAUUCCCGAACAAAUUAGGAGAUUUUGGACAAAACCCUCAACUUAUUCCCUCGGACAACAUUUAUGACGGACCUACCCCUCACAUACAAAACUCCUCUACCCUCUCUUUCUCGCCGUCACACGCCGUCUUUCUGUUCUUCUUCUUCAUCAGUUUUUCUAUCUCUUCUUCUUCAUCAUAUAGUCUUCAUCUAUAAUCCAAAAUCUCUUGAAAAAAAAAAAGAUCUAAAGUAGAUCUAAAUAGAUUAAUAGUGGGCAAAUUAUUCAACAAGAUCUCCACGAGAAAGAUCUCUAAGAAAAAUUGAAGAAAACCCUCCACCCAAAUUUCUCCUAUAAUUAAUACUAAGGUAGAAUUUGCGAUUUGAAAAAAUGGCGGAGAUGUUAACUAGAAAACAACCAAUUCAGUCUCCAGGACGGGAUGACAUGGUUGAUCUCCCAAGGUGGGUCCAAUCAGUUGUCAGGGAGGAAUGGACAGCCGAAGUUUUUGAUGUCGAGUUGAUGAGGUUCCAAAAUAUUGAAGAAGAAAUGGUGCAGAUGCUGCAAAUAGCCAUGGCAUGUGUUGCCAAGGUGCCAGACAUGCGACCAAACAUGGAUGAAGUAGUUAGGAUGAUUGAAGAGGUCCGGCAAUCUGACUCGAAGAAUCGACCAUCUUCAGAAGAGAACAAAUCCAAGGACUCAACUAUGCAGACCCCUUGACUCCUUGGAGGCUCUCCUUGUUUAUGUUUUUUGCGGUUUUCCAUUUGUAUUUUGAAAGGGUACUCUAUUCUUAUAAUGGAGGAAAGUCAUAAACAGCUGGUAUUUUAUUGGAAAACGGGUUUAUUUUUAUUUUAUCCGAUAAAUAAAUUUGUUUAUGAGAAAAUGGGUACUCUAUUCUUAUAAUGGAGAAAAGCCAUAAAGAACUGAUCUUUUAUGGGAAAGUGAUACUUUACAAAAAGUGACCGCGAUUUGGUUUAUGAAAUUACCCCAAACCAAAAUUUAGAAUGAAUUUGUUUGUUUUGAAACCUCAAGGGAGUGUCAGUGCAAGUGUCAAAAACCUCAAGGGAGGUUUCUACAAUUAUCUCUUUGUUUUAUAAGAAUUGUUAUAUCAGGUUAAUUUGAAAUUUAAUUGCAUUUAAUUCUGAAACACUCAUCAAACCAAACAUCAGGAAUUGGAAUGAUGCUAAUUUUAAUGUGUGAACCAAACUAGAUAUUGGAAUGAAAAGUUUAAUUACAAACCAGAGUCUAUGAUUCCAUUUCUAUUUCCGAUUCCAAUCUGUGAAACAAGCACUCCUAGUUUUUAGAAAAUCUCCAAAUCUAAACAAAUCUAAGAUUUCAAUAUGGUAUAAUUAGUUUUUAGAAAAUCUUCAAAUCUAAACAGACCUAUGAUUUCUAUAUGGAAUAGAGUUUCUCAAUGAACAUCUUUUCAUAGGUGUCAUAGAGUUUAUUGUAUAAUUAACCUUUUUUACCUAAAAAUAAUCGCAUUUUAUUGAUUUUCAAUAAAGAAAUCUGUACAAGCAGCUCAUAAUACAUUAGAACUGCUAGUUCUCACCAUCUACACUUGUUUUUGCAGCUCUUUAGUAAUUUGACAUUGUGCAGGAUUUAGCGGCUUCUUUUGUCCUCCGUUACUGCGUAAGAGUAGCAUGCUGCUGCUAACUAGGGAUUGCUCUUGCAUUAUCAAUAAUAGCUCGUAGUUUUACGUCAAAGAAGAAGUCAUUGCCUAAAGUAUCCAAAUUGAUAUAGAACCGACAGCAGGAAUAAGUUUCCGGACUGAGUACCAUCAUCUUCUCAUAUUUUGUUCUUGGAGGCCUAAACCUAAUCAAUUUUUUUGCAUCGCCAUAAAUCAAUUAAUAUUUCUUCCAUAUAAGAUCAAGAAGCUAUUAGGGUCUCAAGGUUUACGUAUAGGUAGACAAAUUUUGUCUGCUUUACAUAUAAGAUCUUGGAUCCUCGUAUUUUUCAAAUAAUUUUUGGAUGCAAACUCUUUUUUUUUUUAAUCAAUAAUCAUUAUACUUUUGAAGGCAUGAUGACUGUUAACAUGGUUGGGUUGAAUGUAAAAAAAAAUAAAAUGGUUGGGUUGAUUGUGUAACUAGGCAAGAAUGUAACCCUUAUGCAUAAGAUGUAAGUUGAAAAUUAGCGUCUAGGUCUAAAUACAGCUUUGGUCAAUAAUUAUUUUUCCUAGAGAAGUGAAUAUUUUCUCCAGGUCAUUAGAAACGAAAAAGGUAAAUUACAUAUAACCUCCCUAAAGUUUUAAAUUUUACCAUAUGAUUCCCUAAAUUUUUAAUAUAUCCACAUCAUCCCCUACGAUUUUAUGCAACCUGAAAAUAGAUAGAAAGCACUACUGAUCACUGCGAUUGAAUUAAAUGCUCUCCAAAAGUACGUGUGAUAAAAUCAUAAUAUCUACUUAAUUUGUCUAUAAUCUGUAUGAAUAUAUACUUUAUUCUUGUAGUUUUUGCAUUUAUUUGCAAAAUUACCUAGAGUUUUGUUCAAGGUGAUAAGAUCGUGGUUCAAUUUAUUGUUUAAAUAAAAACAAUACUGAUAUUUCAAUUAAUGACAUUAUGGAGGUUAUUUUCUAUCAAGUUUCUUAUUUACAUGGAACUACAGGGAGAUGAAGUCGAUAUUAUGAAAUGUUAGAUAAUCAUAUGGUAAUGUGCGAAACUACAAGAGGGUUACGUGUAAUUUAUCAUUAAAAAUUUUUUAACUCACUUACAGAGAGAGAAGCUUUGCAACUCCAAGUUUGUAUAUCUACUUAAACUUUAUAUGGGGUCUCUUGCAUCCUCAUCUAUUCAAUCAAUCAUGGAUACCAUCUUUUACCCUAUAGCUUUAUGUCCACUUGGAACGAGUGAAGGGUCCUGCAUGUCAUGAUAUCAAUGAUUUAACUUUAAACAGUUUAUCAAAUAAAUUUAGUUCAGAUCAUAAAUGAGAUUCUCCUUUUCGUUAGAUUUUUUCCAUCGAUCUCUCCAUUUGUUCAAUAUAUAUCUUAAGUGCUAUAAAUUUAUAAAAUCAACACAGGUAAUAAUAUAUUUCAUCACUUGUGUCAAUUAUACAUAAAACGAUGUAGUUUUAACUUGAAUUAGCAGUGAAGUGUGAGCGUGUGUAAAAAUUUGUCAAUUUAUAAAAAAUUUUUAUUUUUAUUAACUACAUAAAGCUGGCACAUUUAGACAAAAAAAAGUGUCACAACAAUCAGCCCUUCCAAACUGUUGUGUUUCCAUAUUGUUUUGGGACCAUUCCAUGUUUAUUAUGUCGAUACGAAAUCAGUCAAAUUUCAAGUAGUGCCCUUCCUUCUUGUGAAACAUUUUUGUCAUCAAAAUAGACAAAUUAGUUUUUGAUUCUAUUUAUCUAAUAUGUAGAGAUUUGAUUAAUGGUGAAAAGUUUGGUGCGGCGACAACUUAUAUUAAAUAGUUAAAAUAAUUUUCACUUUGCUUGAUAUUUUUGUGCCAACACGUUGGAACCUGUAAAUACAGAGUAAUGCCCAUGGAAGAGGAACCGUUCCUGCUAGUUCAUAAUCAAGAUUUGAUAAAAAAAAAAUGUAAGGUUCAAAUUUUAUUUUGUACUUCAAUUUUUUAUCAUUAUAUGUGAAACUCAUAAAAUUUUGUUAUAUAAUUACAUAUUACUAAAAAUAAAUAAUAACGUAUGAAAUUAAAGUUACACCAUAUAUAUUUUGCACAAAAUUACCUCGAACGAUUUUUUUUUUAUAAUCGUUCGGCCCUUGUCCAAUGCCCAUUCAUUUGAUAAUCGCAUUCUUCUUUCUUUUUUUAAUAUUGACAUUGAUUGACACUAACAUAUCAGACACCCCGAAUGUGACCAUUCUUGUCCUUUCGCAGAAUCUUAGAACCGGUCCAUACUAAAUUAUUGUCCUCCUGCCGAAUUUUGGGAAUUGGGACCAGUCUUUCUUGUGAGUUCCGCCUGUUGUUAAAUUACUCAGGCAACUUGUUCUCCAUUGUCACGUCUCUCAUUUAAUUUUUCUUUUAUAUCUUCUAGAGUAGUAGAUAUAAUUUUUAAUUAUAAUUAUUUUAAAUGUAAUUGUCUUGAUAUCCAGCCAUCAUUCGUACGAGGAUUUGCGGUUGUUAGCCAUCAUCCAUCACGAUGUUGAAGGAUGGUGGAGGACAUUGAGGAGUAGAGAAAAUUGGGUUCCAUGGAUUAAAUAUUCCUCAGGGUGCCUUUCAAAAAAACAAUAUUGCAAUAUUGUAUUUUAAAAGCUUUACUAAUACAAUAUGUAUUUUAGAGUGUUUUAUAAUUUAAACCUUUUUCAGUUACUUUUUAAGAUUUAAUUGAAAUGUUUUUGUCAAUGUUUUUAAAUUCGAACCAAUAAGUGAACCAGUCAAAUGUCCAAGUCACGAUUCAAUUGAUCUUUACAAUUCAACAUCGAUUUUCUUGAUGCAUUGGAAAGCUGACUCAAAGGGCUACAAGUUUAAUGUUUUGGUCAUGAGCUAAAUCAGCUUUUAUCAUCAAAUAAAUGCAGUUGAAAUUGAGUCAAAAUCGGAGCAGAGCUGGAAAUUGAACCAGAAGUGACCAAAUGGUCACUGUAUCAAUCCGGCCGGAAUUUGGCCGGAUUUAAGGCCGGAUUUAUGGCCGGAUUUCGGUCAGAAAAGGCUGCUCUGUCACGCGUAAAACUCAAUUUCACUCCCACCACCACAUUGAUGAUUGCUAUACAUGUGAGAAACAUUUCAGCUGUAAAAAGGGAGAUGUAAUCCUCAUUUCUUGACCACCUUUCAUCAUUAAAGAGCCAAAUUCAUUGCAAGAAAGAAAGGAAGGAGAUGGGGAAUCCAUAGCAGCAAAAUAGAGAGUGAGCUACGGGAGAAAGCUUGAAGCUACAGAAAUGUAGCUCUUUCAAUCUCCCUAGUGUUAGUUUAGCUUAGUAUAGAGUAGUGUAGCUUUUCCAUUCUUGUUUAUUAUCUAGAUUAGGAUGAAGAUGGAGAAUGAAGAAGGCAAGGAAGAAAGCUCAUGUGACAAGGGUUGUAUUCCUUCCAAACUCUUUAUCUUUUGUAUUUGAUUCCAAGUUUAGUUAAUAUACAAGUUCUGGAUUUUGUGUUCAUUAUGUGUUUCUAAAGUUUAUACCUUGGGUUUGGUUGAACUUUCUAUGAUUGUUAGUGUUAAUUGUUUGGUUAUUUGAUUGCUACGAUUUGAGCAAGUUAUUUAGCACUUUGGCUCUUUAAAUCAUGAUUAAUCUGGUACCAUUAAUUGUGAUUAUCUAAGGUGUUGUUUCUACAAUGGAAAUUGAGAUUUAACACUAGUUCAAGAAGUGCUAAACAUAGGGAGUACACUCACGAAAGUAGAGGUGCAUCUAUGUGGUUUUUAGUGAUUCAUUUCAUGUAAUUUCAUUGAAUAAAUGAACUUGUAGCUAAUUUCAUAACCAUGAGAAUAGGUAUGGAUUAGUUAUAAGUAUAAUUGAUUCACUACGAAAGUAGGAUUCAAAUGCAUAAGGAAAUUACACCAUAACUAGCCUAGAUGUAGUAAUUAAUGAUCCAAAUAUAGUACUUGCAUGAGUAGUUAGGGAUACCACAACCUAAGGAGCUUUUAUUUGUCAUUUUGUAUAAUUUCAAUAGGUUAAAUUUGUUAUAAUUCAUUGAUAGUCUAAAUAAUAGAGAAGCUUUAGUAAUACCGGUAAUUGUUCACUCUUCCCUGUGGGAUCGACCCGAUAUAUACCCUAAACUACUAGUUGACCUGUAUACUUGCAGUGAACGGGUGUAAUUCGGUUUUUUAACUUGUACGUAUGCAAAAUACCUGUCAAGUUUUUGGCGCCGUUGCCGGGGAAGAUUUGGCAAUAUCGGUGUGAAGAGCAACUUUAUUAGUUUAGACAUUUUAUUAGUUAUAGUGUGAAUGUUAUUUUCUGUUAUUUUAGUGUUUUUAUGUGUAUGUGUUUUAUAACUUAUUCUUCUUACUAAUCUUGCUCUUAAGUUGUUUAAAAGCAAUUUUAGGUAAUGAGGAGGGGAGGUCAAUUUGGAGGGGAGGUCAAUUUGGAGGACAAUGCUUGAGAAGUGGAAGAUUGGCAAUGGAUGGUUAUCAAGUGCAAAGCUCCUUCAAUAGAGGUAGCCAAGAAUUUACUGAAUGUAUGUCUUUUGAAGAUGGUUUAAGGUGCUUAAAGGCAAAAUUUGAUGUAAUUAAGUUACAAGUUCAAAUGGACACCAUGAUGCAUGAAAUUGAGCAAGGGAGGAAUGCUAAUGCUUUUAAUUCUUAUCAUGUGAUUUGUGACUUGUGUGGAGGUUAUCAUGCUACUAAUACAUGUAUGCAAGCACAAAAUGUGGAUUAUUAUUAUGAAUUAGAGCAUUACAAUCCUUGUUUUGAUCAAUAUAGUGCUAAUUGGAGCAAUUCUCCUACUUAUGGUUGGGAUAAUCAAUGUACUUAUAGUGAGUCUCCUUAUUUUUAUGAUUACCAAUCUGAAAGUGUCCAAUAUGAAUCAAAACCAUCUUGGGAGUUGGCAAUAGAGAAGUUAGCUAAUGCACCUCUGCCUUGGGAAUUAGAGAAUGAACCAUUAGCUAAUGAUUCUAAUGCAUUUUGGGAGCUAGCUGUAGAAAAUUUUUCUAAUCAAUUUGAUUUAGCCAUAGAAAAGCUAGCAAAUGCAACCUCCGACCGUUUUGAUAGGAUUGAGGAAAGGUUAGAUGAAUUAGCUUCUCACUUUGGUGAUAUACAUGAGCAAUUGAAUGUAUUGUGUGAAGUUAUUUCUUCUAAUAAUUUGCAAAAUGAUCCUAGCAUGAAUGGUGGAAAUGUUGUAUGUGAAAAUGGAUUGCAUUUGGAUGAAAAUGAUGAAUCUCAAUUAUAUUUCAAUGAGCAAAUAUCCAUUUCACAUGAUAAUACCUUUGAAACUAACUUUGAGCCUCAAGAGGUGAGUUUUAAUGACUCAUUUUUCACCCCUCUUGAGGAGUGCAGUGAAAGUAUAGGUUCUAAAGGUAUUCCUGCCCAAGAUACUCUCAUGACAUUUCCUUUGGUAAGUUCUCAAGUGGUGUAUAUUCAAGGUAAUAUCUAUGAAACACUUGGGAUAGGUAAGUCACUUUCAUUUCUCACAUCAUUAGAUCAUGUGGCUUUGGCUAUAAAGUCACCAUUUAAUGAUCCACCAAGGCCUAAAAUGGUGGAUUAUUCGUUAACUAAACCUCCUUGAAAAUGAGGAGAAAUAGUCAAGCUAUUGACUUUAAAGAAGCGCUUAUUGGGAGGCAACCCAAUGCUUGUUUAAGUUGGUGUUACUUUGGAGUGAUUUUAUGUUUAAAGUAUGAGUUUGAGUUAUUUUGUUAUUUUUUCAUUUGUAGGUUUUGGAAAAAGAUGCAAAAGUGACCAAAUGAGGUGAAAAAGGCGAAGUUUGAUCAAAGAUCUCAAUACCUCAAAUUCAGUAAUUGUGAUUUUUGAUGCAUUAAAGAGGUUUAGAAUGCAUGUUUAGAUCAUUUUACAUGUGCGUGAACGAUUUAUUUUGACAUAGAAAUGAUCUAGGGUGUAUUUUGAAGAAUUGGGGUCAAACUGAAAAUUGCAAAAAUUCUGCAAUAAGUGCAGAUUCAAUGGAUCCAAACCCUCGGAUCAACUUCUGCAAUCAGAAAAUUUUUUGCAGCAGAAUCCGGCCAAGAAUCCGGCCGGAAAUCCGGCCAGUUUAUGGCCGGAUAUGCAAACAAAAAAAAAAAAAAAAGGGCAAUGUAGCAAAUCCGGCCAAAUUUAGGCCGGAUUAAAGGCCGGAUUGAGAGGCAAAAUUGAAAAAAAAAUUUCGUGGCUACUGGCCAGUAUCCGGCCUAUAAUCCGGCCGGAAACUGGCCAGAUUCUGGCCGGUUUUGCGCAAUAGAAGGGAAUCCGCGCACGGAUUCCCCAAGUUUCUUCUUCCUCCUUUCUUCAACACUUCACACACUUACACUUAAAACACACACUACUCCUAAAAUCCAACUUUUCACCAUCCAAUCUCCAAACUAAAUGCACCAAAACAUUUCCCUUUUCCUUGUGAGUUGAUUUCAUAGCUUAAAAUCCUUCAAAAACAUGUUUUAAUUAGGAUUUGGCUUGAGAAGAACAAGGGUUUCAAAUUUUUGAACUCUUCAUUUGGGGCCAAAUUGGAGUGAAAUUUUUUGGGGUUUCUUCACCAUUUGCAUCAUUAAUCAUCUACCAACAAGUUUGAGGUAACAAAUCUUCACCAAAUGUUGUCAUUUGAAUUUUGCCAAUUUUCACUUUUUCCUAUUUUUGGGCAAUUUCGAAUUUUUUUCAUUUUGUGAAGUUUGAUGCUUUUUAUGAUGUUAUUGAGCUUAUUGAUGAUUAUUGGUGAUGUUUUUUAACUCAUGGGUUUGAGAUUAUUUGGUGAAUUUAGCAAUUUUAAGCUAAUCUUGAGGAUUACUUUGAUUUGAUCAUUAUUAGCUAAAUUUUUGGGGCAAUUGGAUUGAAGAAAAUUGUAUGAGAGUAAUGGAUUGGUCUAGGAUAUUUACAUGCUAAAUUUAGGCUUAAUUAGCUUAUCCUUUGAUUUUUGGCAUGUUUAUUCUAGAAAAUUUGAUUAAAGUUGAAUUAAUGACCUUUUUAAGUCUAAACUCAUGGUUAAGGUGCUUUUUAGCAUUUCAUUAUGCUUAUUUAGGUCAUUAAGUUGGGAGUAAGUUGUGUGAUUGUUUAAUUGCUUUCUCUACUUAUUUGGACAUUUUAUGCUUAAGUGUUUUAUUUGGAAAAAAAUGAAAGAAGCAUUUGUUGUUGAUAAUCAAUUGUAAAGUCUUGCUUGUGAAGUUAAUUGCUAAUUAUUAUGUGAGUAAGUUGAUAAGAUUGGCUAAUUAAAGAUAAAGAGGUAAAAGUGAAUGAGUUUUCAUUAUCUUUACUUAGCAAUGUACCUAUUAAAUGAAGUUAACAUUUAAUAAUUUUAAUUAGGUACAAUGGCUCGCACUAAGAAAGGUGCAGUGAAAUCUCCUCCUAAUAGGAGAGGAGAAGCUUCGACGUCUAGACACCGCGCUUGAAAAGAAAAGCAAGUAGACGUCUACGCUUCAAGACGAGCCAUUAUCGAGGAGGAGAAUCAACAACAAGAACAACAAGAGGAACAAGAGGUCCAAGGGGAACAAGAGGAGGAAGUCCCAUAUGAUAAGUCGCGCUUUACCUCCGCCGAAAAUGAAGCUUGGUACAAUGCUAGGAGGGGAGCUAAGGUAUUGGUGGAGAAAGAUGUCACUCGGAUGUUGAGGAGGUCUACCAUCUCAAGGCUCCUUUGCCAAAUUGGGAUGGGAAAACUUCUUUAACAUCCCAAACUUCUAUUAUGAGGAGCUUGUCCGAGAAUUCUAUGCGAAUGUGGAGGACAAGAAGGUUUUUCACUACGACACGGAGGUGAUUACAGUACAGUGCGAGGGAGAAAAGUUCGAGUCCAUAGAGCUGAUUUGGAGCGCUAUCUUCAUGUUUCGGAUGUGGGGCGCAAGGUAGAUUUGAAGAAAGCCUUCAAACCCAAUGAUUUGGACUCUUGGAACAUGCUAGAGGCACUUGUACGCUUGGGGGUUGAGUACAAGGCUACUCGACGACUGGGCGAUAUUCGUAUUGACUUCGUCAUUUCCGGAGUCGCAACGUCUUCUUAUUUACUCUUUUCCUCCAACAUCAUUCCGAGGGCGAGUGGAACCAAUGAGGCGCGCACAAGUGACAUCUAUUUCUUGGAUAAAAUGGAGCAUGGCUUAGGAAACAUCCAAGGCAUUCCAUUGGGAAGCAUUAUCACCAACCACAUGUGGGCUGUGGUUCAGUAACGACAUCAAACAUGCUUUCCCAUAUCCUCGGUUCUUGACCUUGAGUUUCAAAGGGUUGGAGUGGAUUUUUCUAACGCUAUCCCUACAGGUCUCAAGAAGAAGGACGUCUUUACUGGAUUUUUGCAGGUUCAUUUUGAAGAGUAAAGAGGUGGUCCUUCAACUCAAGGGGUGCUCAAGGAGACAUUAGGCAGAGGAGGAAGCAGAAAUUGAACGAAUUGAAGAAGCUCAAGGGGUUGAGACAACCACCCCCGGUCUCAACUGAGCCGUCUUCCUCACGUCCUCCAACCUCACCUCAAGACACUCGUCGUUUCUGAAGAAGAUAAUGGACAAGCUGCUUUGCGUCGAGGCUGAGGUGAAAGAAGAGCCGCCAAGAGAACAAACGGAACUCCGAGCGUCUUCGUCGCAUCGAGACCAAGUUGGGUAUUGAAGCUCCUCCGACUCCACCAUCUUCACCUGACCAAGCGACUACUUGAGGGAGUGCUCGUCACCUGUGACAUUGCCACUAGUUUUUCUUUAUUUUCUGUAGUAUUUGUGAUGUUUAUUUUUAGUGAUUUUCUUUAUUUCUUUUGUGUGAACUAAUCCAAGUGAUCUUCAUCUCUGUUGUGGUGUUAGUGAUUGACUACUAAGUUGGAAAUUCAUCACUUGGACAUGGAUUCGGAUUGCGCAAGUUCAAUUGAGCAGUAUUUUCUUUUACUCUUUAUUUAUUUUCCUUUUCUCACAUUGAGGACAAUGUGAAGUUUAAGUGUGGGGAGGAAAAUAUUGAACUUGCAUUUACUUGCUAGGUGAUGAUAUUUUGUGGAUUUAAAUGCUUAGAAAUGUUGGAAUUGUGUUUGAAUUAUUUGCCAUGUGGAUAAUUUGAUUGAAAUUGGGUUUGUUGGCAGGGAGUUUUCAUCCAUUUAUAAGGAGAAACUCUGUCAAAAUUUUUCUAAAAUCUUUUCCAAUAUUUCACUAUGGCCCAAAAGUUCUUCAAAUUUUUCAUUUUAUUCAAAAAGGGCCAAAUUGUUCCAACCUUAAGUGUUUAAUUCUUCCAAUUGUUGAAAUGUUAUAUGUAUUUUGGAAAGUUUAGUCUCAUUUAACUUGGAAAUGAUUAUUAUGCAAUUAGGAUUUUUACAUUUUAGAAAGUAUAUUGGAUAAAGUGAGGAAAAUUAUGCCUAUAAUUUUACAUGUUUAAUGAGAUUUCUUCUCUUUACUUAAUUUUAAGUAAGUGAUUGAUAUAGUCGAUAAAGGUUAUACUCCUCCUUUGAUUUUCUUAUAUAUUUUCUAAGAGGGAAUAUCUAUUUAUUGUCCUUUAUUUAAAAAAAAAAAAAAAAAAAAAAAAGAAGAAAAGAAAAGUAAAUAAAAAUUAUUCUACUCCAAUGAUUCUCGUACCGAGUAACCGGGGGUUGGCAUCUACAAAUGUCGACAUUCGCGUAAAAAGGUACUUGAAUUAAGAGUAUGCAUAGCAACUUGAAUAAGUGAAAUGUUGAGUAACCGGGGAUCUUCACCUAAAAGUGUCGAUUUUCGCGUAAAAAGGCAUUUUCACUAUUUAAGUAAAAUUAGUAUGAAUAAAUCCCUCUUAGUUAAGAAUUUUGAGAAAAAGAUGAUUAUAGGAGGAGGAAGGCUAUAAAUUGACUAUGUGAUUUGCUUAUUUGUAAAAUUAAGUUAGGGUAAGAGAUUAAGUUUAACUUGUUGAAUUUAGGGUAUAAUUAUCUUUCCUUUACUUGAUAUUAUGAGUAUUUAGUGUAAAUUGAAUAAUUGUAUAAUGAUUAUUUUCCAAGUCUUGAGGAAUUAAAUUGGACAAAGUGCAUAUAUUGUUUCACCUCUUGAAUCAUUGCAUUUGAUUAUGUGUGAAUUGCUUGAGGACAAGCAAUGAUUUAAGUGUGGGGGAGUUUGAUAAGUGACUAAUUUACGUAAUAAUUGUAUGAUAUUUUAUAUUAUUUUUAGUCACUUUGUUAUAUUAUUGGAAGAAAUAUGAAUCAUUUUGGCUAUAAUUGGUGAAUAAAUGUUUUUAAGUGAUUAAAUGAGGUUUUUAUCACUUUUUACUUGGAUUUUGUGUAUUUUGACAGUUUUGACACAUUUUCGUAUUUCGGCUAUAACUUGAGCUACAUGAUCGGAUUAAGAUGAUUCUUGAACCAAUUUGAAGAUAAGAGAUAGAUCUACAACUUUGGUGAAGACAUCUAAAUCCAGUUUGAAGGUUUUCCAGGUCAAAAUGCCGAAUUACAAUAGCAAAUUUCUACUGGUCGAACUGGAACAGGGCAAUGAGCAGGUAAGGGUAUUUCGGUCAUUUCUCAGCCUACACAGAUCCAAAUGAGGUGAUUCUUGAUGCAUUGGAAAGCUAACUCAAAGGGCUACAAGUUUCAUGUUUUGGUCAAGAGCUAAAUCAGCUUUUAUCAUCAAAAAAGUUCAGUUGAAGUUGAUCAAAAUCGGAGCAGAGCUGGAAAUUGAACCAGAAGUGACCAAAUGGUCACUGUAUCAAUCCGGCCGGAAUUUGGCCGGAUUUAAGGCCGGAUUUCUGGCCGGAUUUGGUCAGAAAAGGCUGCUCUGUACGCGUAAAACUCAAUUUCACUCCCACCAACUCACAUGGAUGCUAUACAUGUGAGAAACAUUCCCAGCUGUAAAAGGAGAUGUAAUCCUCAUUUCUUGACCACCUUUCAUCAUUAAAGAGCCAAAUUCAUUGCAAAGAGAAGGAGAGGGGAGUCCAUAGCAAAAAUAGAGAGUGAGCUACGGGAGAAGCUUGAAGCUGCAGAAAUGUAGCUCUUUCAUCUCCCUAGUGUUAGUUUAGCUUAGUAUAGAGUAGUGUAGCUUUUCCAUUCUUGUUUAUUAUCUAGAUUAGGAUGAAGAUGGAGGAUGAAGAAGGCAAGGAAGAAAGCUCAUGUGACAAGGGUUGUAUUCCUUCCAAACUCUUUAUCUUUUGUAUUUGAUUCCAAGUUUAGUUAAUAUACAAGUUCUGGAUUUUGUGUUCAUUAUGUGUUUCUAAAGUUUAUACCUUGGGUUUGGUUGAACUUUCUAUAAUUGUUAGUGUUUAUUGUUUGGUUAUUUGAUUGCUAUGAUUUGAGCAAGUUAUUUAGCACUUUGGCUCUUUAAAUCAUGAUUAAUCUGGUACCAUUGAUUGUGAUUAUCUAAGGUGUUGUUUCUGCAAUGAAAAUUGAGAUUUAACACUAGUUCAAGAAGUGCUAAACAUAGGGAGUACACUCACGAAAGUAGAGGUGCACUUAUGUGGUUUUUAGUGAUUCAUUUCAUGUAAUUUCAUUGAAGAAAUGAACUUGUAGCUAAUUUCAUAACCAUGAGAAUAGGUAUGGAUUAGUUAUAAGUAUAAUUGAUUCACUACGAAAGUAGGAUUCAAAUGCAUAAGGAAAUUACACCAUAACUAGCCUAGAUGUAGUACUCAAUGAUCCAAAUAUAGCACUUGCAUGAGUAGUUAGGGAUACCACAACCUAAGGAGCUUUUAUUUGUAUUUUGUAUAAUUUCAGUAGGUUAAAUUUGUUAUAAUUCAUUGAUAGUCUAAAUAAUAGAGAAGCUUUAGUAAUACCGGUAAUUGUUCACUCUUCCCUGUGGGAUCGACCCGAUAUAUACCCUAAACUACUAGUUGAUCUGUAUACUUGCAGCUGAAGUGAACGGGUGUAAUUCGGUUUUUUAACUUGUACGUAUGCAAAAUACCCGUCACUAGUCCCAAAAUUUCUUGGAAGGACAAUAAUAAUUCAGUGUGUACUGGUUCCAAAAUUAUGUUGAAAGGACAAAAAUGGUCGCAUCAGGUGUACGACAACGUUAGUGUCAAUUAUAAGUGACAUAUAAAUCCAUUUAGUUAAAUUUAUUCAUACUCGUUCAUAAAUAGAUAGAUAUAAAUAUUUUAAAUAUGUAAAAUAUUUACAUAUGGGUAUAAAUAGAUUAUCCAAUAAUAUCAAUUUAUUAAAUGGGUAUUAUUGGGUAACUCAUCAAAUUCAAUUAAUCCAUUUAGAAUUGUAUUCCCUCAAACCUCCUAUCUUCCCUCGCUCAAUUUUUUUUCAGAUUUUUCAUUUUGUUAUAAUGUUAACUACUUUUGUUUCAUUACUAUUAUUAUUAUUUGUUGAUGUUAUCUUAUCAUUUUAUUUUCUCUUAGUUUGUUAACUUACUCAUUUUCAACAUUACUAAUUUAUGACAAGUUUUAGUGUUUUUUCAUACCUUUUCAAAAUAAAAUUUUAAAUUUACACACGAAAAAAAAUGGUUGAGGUUCAAAAUUUUUGGAUUAAGUUUUUACGUUAACUUUUAUAUUAUUUAGUUCAAAUUUUUAUAUUCUUAUUAUUCAAUUAUUAAAUAGUAUGUAAUUUUGUGACAUAGAGUAUGAAUAGACGUUUGUGGAAAAAAAAAGAGUAUGAAUGGAAAAAAAAUUAGUAAUUAGAUUUAUUGAACAUUAUAAAUAAAUAUUUAAAACCAAUGAUGGGUGCAAAUGGUGGUGAAAAUUGAUAACUUAGUUUACAAAAAUAAAUUUAAAUGAAUUUACAAAAAAUUAAAAUAAAUGGAUUAUAAAUGAGUAAUUGGGUUAUCCAAUUCAUUUUUUGACUUACUCAUUUAUAUCCAUCUAAUUAAAUGUGUAUAAAUAGAUUGACUCGCUUAUACCCAUUAUCCAUUUUAAUCAACAUAAAUCUACCUAAGUUAUUCAUUUUGACACCUCUAGUGUCAAUCAACGACACUAAUAAAAGAAGAAAAGAAGGGAAAAAAGCCUUGAUGACUCUCUAACUUUUUUUCAAGUUAAGUUUUGCCCUCUAAUAAUUAGCAAUAAAGUUUUGAUUUUCAACUAAAAAAAAAGCAUAUUCGUGAUCCUCCUAUCAAAUUCAGCAAUUAAGAUAAAAGCAUCAUUCCAUGAAAGCAUCAUCUGAGUAAAAAAGCACUUACGAGGAAAAACUGAAAAAGACAGCUUCUUUUCUGACCUUCAGUUUCUAGAUACAUUAGAGCAACAAAAAUCUCCAUUACUGUCAAAGUCGGAACUCACAAGGAGAAGAAUGAAUAGUUCCCGUCUACCCAUGCAGAUGUGACAAAGAGAUCAGGAUGAUAAAAGGUCAAGAAUUGUCCGCAUCAGAGUGCAAGUGUCAAUCAACGACACUAAUAAAACAAGAAAAAGAAUGCAAUCUUCACGCAACCGUGAUGGAAACGUACAAAGAUAUGUCGGGCUCAGUAUAUUUACUCCAAAAUUGUGCAUCCCCAAGGAUGUACAAGUGGACUCUUUCUUAUUCAUCAAAUUUGCAUAAACCAUUUUUUUAAGCCUAAGUUCACACUAGGUUGUUCUUCAAUGAUGAGAUAACCUUGAGUGAAGAGAGAGGGUUCAUUCGGACCUACUCAUUGUCAAUUUUGAUUCACGUGUUCCAACCCGUUGGCAAAAAAAUAUCAUGCAAAGUGAAAAUUAUUUUAACUAUUUAAUAUAAAUUGGGUAAAAUACACGGAACCCCUCUAUGGUUUCGCGAAAAGACACGAAACCCCCCUAUCGUUUAGAAACAUACACAUAAACGCCCUAAACUCCAUAACUAAAGUGAAAAUAGACCUAUAACCGGCUAAGUUACCGGCUGCAGGUCGAAUACCCAAAAUACCCCAUUUCUCUCCUGCUGCCCCGCUCUCCCCUAUGCGGGCCGCUCGCGACUCUAUCCCCGUCGGCAGCUACAAUCCCUCCGAGUUUGUCGCUCCCACGGUCUCAGAGUUCACUGACGAUGCUCUCUCCCCUAAUUGGACUGCUCGCCGGAGCAAUUCUGGUAAAUUUGCUUCCUCCCUGCCAGCUGGUGGAUUUGAUAUGUCAUCCCUUAAACAGAAUAAUUUCCCGGCUAGUAGUUUAACCACCGUCUCCAUUGUCAACAUGCCCCCUGGCGGUGAACAGGGUCCUUCCAUCCUUCCCCCGGGUAAAGAGCAGAGCGGCGAGGAUGCCUCCUGCGCCGGCGCCGGCGGCGACGUCGAAGAAGUCAGCAACGCGGGCAUUUGGGUUUCCGGAUUUGCGGCGGAGGGUGGCCUCCAGGUGUGCCAGAGACUUGGCAGCAAGAACGCCGUCGGUGGAGCCACUAGCAUCAAUGGAGAGGAUUCGGACUUUGUCGCGGCCGCCUGGGAAGUGCUUGGUGCUGUGGGGAGAAGCAGCAGCAGCAGCGGCAGCAGUAGCAGGAGGAGUAGUAUUAAUUUUGGGGAGGUGGGAAACGAACUUGGGAUCGUCGUACCCAAAAAGGAACUUGUUUUCGAGGAUGGAGAAGAAUUCACAAGUGAGUUUGUCCACGUCCAUGUUGCACUCCAACUGAUGAAGCAUUGAUGAAGCUGUGGUGGUGGUGGAUAUUGCAGCUGCCGCCAUUAUCUCCUUCUUCUUGUUUGUGGAUAUUCUUGUAUUGGAAGGGAGGGGACUGACUUAGGAGUGAUUAAUGUAGUACUUGGUUCUACGUUUAAGGUAAGACUGAAAUCGCCUCAACAAAUAUUAAUGGUUCAACUGGCUUAGCUAGCUCCUAGCUAUAUCAAUGGGGAAGGUCUGCAUUUGGUAUAUCAAGUUCCAGUUUGAUUUUUUUCUUCCGAGUCCUGUCAAAGGUUUCCGUGUACACUUAGAGUGCUUUUGAUUCAAAGUUCAAGGCAAAGUUUUCAAGCUUACGUUUCGUUUCUGGAUAUACAUUGGAUUGUCAAUUCCUACUAAUUUAGCAGGCCACGGGUUAGACGAGAGUAUUUGACCUGCUGCCGGUAACUCAGCCGGUUCAAAAGGUAAUUUCCACUUUAGUUAUGAAAGUUAGGGUGUUUAUGUGGAGGUUUUUAAACGAUAGGGGGUUUCGUGUCUUUUCGUGAAACCAUAGGGGG
RNAcentral lists this long non-coding RNA (19016 nucleotides) under Coffea arabica (coffee). Its description in RNAcentral is "long non-coding RNA (CARA_LNC001720)". The record is from RNAcentral. Lineage: Eukaryota; Viridiplantae; Streptophyta; Magnoliopsida; Gentianales; Rubiaceae.